Molecule: ribosomal RNA, 426 nt
Filed under: uncultured bacterium
Lineage: Bacteria
Description: bacterial SSU rRNA
Rfam family: Bacterial small subunit ribosomal RNA
Source: RNAcentral
GUGAGGAAUUUUCCGCAAUGGGCGAAAGCCUGACGGAGCAAUGCCGCGUGAAGGAUGAGGGCCUAUGGGUUGUAAACUUCUUUUCUCAGAAAAGAAUUAUGACGGUAUCUGAGGAAUAAGCAUCGGCUAACUCUGUGCCAGCAGCCGCGGUAAGACAGAGGAUGCAAGCGUUAUCCGGAAUGAUUGGGCGUAAAGCGUCUGUAGGUUGUUUAAAAAGUAUUCUGUCAAAGAUUAGGGCUUAACCCUAGAUAGGCAGAAUAAACUUUUAAGCUAGAGUUUGGUAGAGGCAGAGGGAAUUCCCGGUGGAGCGGUGAAAUGCGUAGAUAUCGGGAGGAACACCAAAGGCGAAGGCACUCUGCUGGGCCAAUACUAACACUGAGAGACGAAAGCGAGGGGAGCAAAUGGGAUUAGAAACCCGAGUAGUCC